Rattus norvegicus (Norway rat) is the source of this 69-nucleotide non-coding RNA. The record is from Rfam. NCBI's taxonomy places the organism in Eukaryota, Metazoa, Chordata, Mammalia, Rodentia, Muridae.
GGGGAUCUAGCUCAGUGGUAGAGCGCUUGCCUAGCAAGCACAAGGCCCUGGGUUCAGUCCCCAGCUCCG